Molecule: long non-coding RNA, 2254 nt
Organism: Oncorhynchus keta (chum salmon)
Lineage: Eukaryota; Metazoa; Chordata; Actinopteri; Salmoniformes; Salmonidae
Exons: 3
Source: RefSeq, a predicted model, not a curated record
GUCGGCAGGUAUUUUUUUUUUUUUAAAGCUCUCUGCCCAGUGGGACUGCAUUACAUGAAGCUCAUUCCGCUAGACAGGAUGAACGGUGCCAUAAAGCCGGGUCAUUCCACUAGACAGGAUGAACGGUGCCAUAAAGCCGGGUCAUUCCACUAGACAGGAUGAACGGUGCCAUAAAGCCGGGUCAUUCCUCUAGACAGGAUGAACGGUGCCAUAAAGCCAGGUCAUUCCACUAGACAGGAUGAACGGUGCCAUAAAGCCAGGUCAUUCCACUAGACAGGAUGAACGGUGCCAUAAAGCCAGGUCAUUCCACUAGACAGGAUGAACGGUGCCAUAAAGCCAGGUCAUUCCACUAGACAGGAUGAACGGUGCCAUAAAGCCAGGUCAUUCCACUAGACAGGAUGAACGGUGCCAUAAAGCCAGGUCAUUCCACUAGACAGGAUGAACGGUGCCAUAAAGCCGGGUCAUUCCACUAGACAGGAUGAACGGUGUUAUAAAGCCGGGUCAUUCCACUAGACAGGAUGAACGGUGCCAUAAAGCCAGGUCAUUCCACUAGACAGGAUGAACGGUGCCAUAAAGCCGGGUCAUUCCACUAGACAGGAUGAACGGUGCCAUAAAGCCGGGUCAUUCCACUAGACAGGAUGAACGGUGCCAUAAAGCCGGGUCAUUCCACUAGACAGGAUGAACGGUGCCAUAAAGCCGGGUCAUUCCACUAGACAGGAUGAACGGUGCCAUAAAGCCGGGUCAUUCCUCUAGACAGGAUGAACGGUGCCAUAAAGCCAGGUCAUUCCACUAGACAGGAUGAACGGUGCCAUAAAGCCAGGUCAUUCCACUAGACAGGAUGAACGGUGCCAUAAAGCCAGGUCAUUCCACUAGACAGGAUGAACGGUGCCAUAAAGCCAGGUCAUUCCACUAGACAGGAUGAACGGUGCCAUAAAGCCAGGUCAUUCCACUAGACAGGAUGAACGGUGCCAUAAAGCCAGGUCAUUCCACUAGACAGGAUGAACGGUGCCAUAAAGCCGGGUCAUUCCACUAGACAGGAUGAACGGUGUUAUAAAGCCGGGUCAUUCCACUAGACAGGAUGAACGGUGCCAUAAAGCCAGGUCAUUCCACUAGACAGGAUGAACGGUGCCAUAAAGCCGGGUCAUUCCACUAGACAGGAUGAACGGUGCCAUAAAGCCGGGUCAUUCCACUAGACAGGAUGAACGGUGUUAUAAAGCCGGGUCAUUCCACUAGACAGGAUGAACGGUGCCAUAAAGCCGGGUCAUUCCACUAGACAGGAUGAACGGUGUUAUAAAGCCGGGUCAUUCCACUAGACAGGAUGAACGGUGCCAUAAAGCCGGGUCAUUCCACUAGACAGGAUGAACGGUGUUAUAAAGCCGGGUCAUUCCACUAGACAGGAUGAACGGUGCCAUAAAGCCGGGUCAUUCCACUAGACAGGAUGAACGGUGUUAUAAAGCCGGGUCAUUCCACUAGACAGGAUGAACGGUGCCAUAAAGCCGGGUCAUUCCACUAGACAGGAUGAACGGUGUUAUAAAGCCGGGUCAUUCCACUAGACAGGAUGAACGGUGCCAUAAAGCCGGGUCAUUCCACUAGACAGGAUGAACGGUGUUAUAAAGCCGGGUCAUUCCACUAGACAGGAUGAACGGUGCCAUAAAGCCGGGUCAUUCCACUAGACAGGAUGAACGGUGUUAUAAAGCCGGGUCAUUCCACUAGACAGGAUGAACGGUGUUAUAAAGCCGGGUCAUUCCACUAGACAGGAUGAACGGUGUUAUAAAGCCGGGUCAUUCCACUAGACAGGAUGAACGGUGCCAUAAACCCGGGUCAUUCCACUAGACAGGAUGAACGGUGUUAUAAAGCCGGGUCAUUCCACUAGACAGGAUGAACAGUGCCAUAAAGCCGGGUCAUUCCACUAGACAGGAUGAACGGUGUUAUAAAGCCGGGUCAUUCCACUAGACAGGAUGAAUGGUGCCAGACAGGCAUUAUAUGAUUGAGGCCUGUGCUACUCAGAGUUCUGUAAUCUUGAGUUAGGCGUUUGAUUUUUACUUUCAGUUAUUGUCCAGUUUAUGUUCCCAUAGUGCUCUAGUAAAAAAAAAGUAGUGUACUCUAUUAGGAAUAGCGUGUUAUUAUGGACGGUUCCUCACUGAUACCUCCACCUCCUGAACCCUCCUGAACCCUCCUGAUCCCUCCUGAUCCCUUCUGAUCCCUCCUGAACCCUCCUGAUCCCUCCUGAUCCCUCCUGAUCCCUCCUGAACCC